This 223-nucleotide ribosomal RNA is filed under the name uncultured bacterium. RNAcentral's name for it is "partial 16S ribosomal RNA". It matches the Rfam family "Bacterial small subunit ribosomal RNA", at positions 524 to 743 of the family's 1533-position model. The record is from RNAcentral.
UACGUAGGGUGCGAGCGUUGUCCGGAAUUACUGGGCGUAAAGAGCUCGUAGGUGGUUUGUCGCGUUGUCCGUGAAAUUCCCUGGCUUAACUGGGGGCGUGCGGGCGAUACGGGGCAGACUGGAGUACUGCAGGGGAGACUGGAAUUCCUGGUGUAGCGGUGGAAUGCGCAGAUAUCAGGAGGAACACCGAAUGGCGAAGGCAGAUCUGCUGGGCCGUUACUGA